GGGAAAAGCUCAAAUUUCGAAUCUGGCGGUCUUUGGCCGUCCGAGUUGUAAUCUAGAGAAGCGUCGUCCGCGCUGGACCGUGUAUAAGUCUCCUGGAAGGGAGCGUCGUAGAGGGUGAGAAUCCCGUCUUUGACACGGACUACCAGUGCUAUGUGAUGCGCUCUCGACGAGUCGAGUUGUUUGGGAAUGCAGCUCAAAAUGGGUGGUAAAUUCCAUCUAAAGCUAAAUACAGGCGAGAGACCGAUAGCGAACAAGUACCGUGAGGGAAAGAUGAAAAGAACUUUGGAAAGAGAGUUAAACAGUACGUGAAAUUGCUGAAAGGGAAACGCUUGAUGUCAGUCGCGUCGGCCGGGGAUCAACCUUGCUUCUCUGCUGGGUGUACUUCCUGGUCGAUGGGUCAGCAUCAGCUUCGGUCGCCGUACAAGGGCGAGGGGAACGUGGCACUCUUCGGAGUGUGUUAUAGCCUUUCGUCGUAUGCGGCGGUCGGGUCUGAGGAACUCAGCACGGCUUUCGGGUUUGUGCUUAGGAUGCUGGCAUAAUGGCCUUAAGCGACCCGUCUUGAAACACGGACCAAGGAGUCUAACAUGCCUGCGAGUGUUUGGGUGGCAAACCCGAGCGCGCAAUGAAAGUGAAAGUUGAGACCUCUGUCGUGGAGGGCAUCGACGCCCGGACCUGAGUCUUUGACAACGGAUCUGCGGUAGAGCACGUAUGUUGGGACCCGAAAGAUGGUGAACUAUGCCUGAAUAGGGUGAAGCCAGAGGAAACUCUGGUGGAGGCUCGUAGCGAUUCUGA
Molecule: ribosomal RNA, 792 nt
Filed under: Suillellus amygdalinus
Lineage: Eukaryota; Fungi; Basidiomycota; Agaricomycetes; Boletales; Boletaceae
Description: eukaryotic LSU rRNA
Rfam family: Eukaryotic large subunit ribosomal RNA
Source: RNAcentral